RNAcentral lists this unclassified non-coding RNA (4219 nucleotides) under Leishmania donovani. Its description in RNAcentral is "gene:LdHU3.36.7400(CDS-product:hypothetical_prote in_conserved)". The record is from RNAcentral. Lineage: Eukaryota; Euglenozoa; Kinetoplastea; Trypanosomatida; Trypanosomatidae.
AAGUGGCGACGAAGUACUAGUAGACAUUUCACAUUGGGCGCCGAGAAUAAGACUGCACUAUUCCAGUCUGUCUUUUUUUUUGCUGGACUGUGCUUCUUUCUGUUGUUGUUGUGCAUUUCCCGUGUACGUGCCUUUGGCAGUCAUACACUCCGCAGCUGCUAUUCCCACAUCCACACACCAGAAAGGAACCCGUUCGCUCCGUUCUUCUUUUUUUUUCUCCCCCUUCUCAGGAACCCGAGGCAGCGUUUGCAACGCAACGUUGUAAACCUAGAAGGCACACAUGCCAGCGAAAAAGGCAGGCCGCGCCAAGUCGUCUCUGGCACUCGCUGCCAGGGAAGCGGAGCUGGCGCAGGAGGCCGAGCUUCUGCGCCAAGAGACGGAAAAGGGGCGUCUCCGCAACGAGGAGUGUGAGCUGCGCCAGCUCAUCGAGGAGGAGUGGAGAAAGCUACUCGAGGCGCAUCGGAAUCGCGAAAGGGAUGUGCGCAACACGUUAGCCGAGGUGGAACGCAAGGCCUACUACGAUGCCAAGGAACGAGAAAUUGCUGCCAGCGUUGCGCAGAAGGUGCAGGAGCUGCAGGAGGCUCAGGCGACGCUGGCGCUCAAGGUGCGGGAGAAUGACUUGCUGGAGAAAGAUAAAGCGUCUGCGUUGCGCCGGGUAGGGCUACUCACAAACGAAUUGGAGCUGACGCAGCUGCGGCAUACGGACUCGCAGCAGCGGAUGGCCGCAGCGGAUCAGGCGCACCAAGAGGCGCAGCGAAAGUGGGAGGCAGAGUACGAUGCACUGCAGCAGGCUCACCAAGAGCUGGAGAUGAAGUACGCUAGGUUGGAACUCGAGCAGGCGAAGGCGACGAGCGCUGCGGAAGCCGCUGCCGCCGCUGCCGCCGCCGAGGAGGAGGAUACACGCGCUAAGAAGUCUGCGGCAGCGGCACCACCAGACGAUGAGGAGACAGUCAUGCUCCUGCGCGUGAUGCAGGCGGAGACAGAGCGCUACAAGGCGACGGCCACGGAGUUGCAGGAGGAGGUGGACCACGUCCGCAAGCAGGAGGAGAAGUCGAACUUGCUGGUCGGCAUCUUGAACACGCAGCUCGAGUCUGUGCGUGAGGACAACAAGCGACUACACGAGCUUGCCCAGAAGCGGCAGGCGGAGCUGGAGGCGGCCGGGCAGCUGCGCCGCGACGCGGAGGUGGCCCGCCAGAGUGCGCUGACAGAGAUGAUGCAGGCCCUGUCGGCCGCUGCCGUGCAGCAGCGCCAGCUGGAGCUGGAGCUUGACGUUCACCGCAACGAGGCGGAGAAGCUAAAUGCUGAGCUGUCCGAAGCGCGGCAGGAGUGCGCGGCGCUGAAGGAGGAGCUCACGUCAGUCUCGCAUAAAGCCGCCCAGCAGGCGCAGACUGACCACGCCACCAACACGGCAAUGCAGGCGGAGCUGGCCAAUCAGAAGAAAGACCUCGAAAUUGCUUUGAAGGCGAAGGAGACGGCCGAGGACGACAAGUUUAACCACAAGAUUCUCACCCGUGCCGAGAUUGACAGCCUCAAGACACGGCUGCAGCGGCUGCAGGAGACGAUGGAGCGCAAGGAUCGCGAGGCGUUCGAGACCAUUGCGGUGCUCAAGGCAGAUAUCGCGAAGCAGGAGUCUGCCAGCGCUCAGCUUCUCCGAGAGCAUGAGCUGGAUACGAACGCGCUACGGACGCAGCUCACGACGACGGAGACGGAGCGUGGCUUCCUCCGUAGCGAGCUGGACUCGCUUCAGGAGUCUUCCAGUAAGCGGGAGCAAGAGCUGUACGAGCAGCUCACAGAAGUUACCGCCCGUCACACGACCGCAAGCGAGGAGCUCGAGCGUCUUCGUGCUGAUACCGCGCGGAAAGACUCUGAGUACAUCCACAACACCAUCUACCUCAACGCCGAGUGCGAAAACCUCCGGACGAAGAUUAAUGAGAUGACCGAGACGGCAACGCAGCAGCGGCGCACCCACACUAACCAUGUAGAGCAGCUGCGCGUCGAGACGGAGCAGCUGAAGAGCCGACUCACAGAGGAGCUCCACACGCAGCAGUCUGCGCACGCGAAGGAGUGCGAGCGCGCUGACAUGGCGGAGCGUAACGUGCGCCGUCUACAGGAACGCAUUCGGGAAAUGGAGCAAGAGGCGCGCUUGACCGGCCUGAAGCACGACGAGGCCGUGAAGGCUCUGCAGGCGGAGAGCCGCGAUCUCCGCAGCGAGCUACUCAUCGCGAAGCGCACGAUUGAGCGCCUGGAGUGCGCGAUCGGUGACCAGGCGGGGUACCGCCAACUGACGGAGCUGAACGACAAGCUCACAAAGGAGUUACAGGCGUACCAGCGCAAUGUGUCAACGCUGAAAGAUAAGACUGUCGCUCUGCAGGUUGAGGCGGAGACAAUGGGCGGGUACAAGGUCAAGAAGGCGCAGGAAGAGAAGGAGCUGAUGGCACGCCGGCUGCAGCAGACGGAGCGGCGAUACCGUCUCCUCGUGCCCCUCUUCGCUCAGCUGCGAGAUCUCGUCGAGAACUACCUUGCCUCUUACGUGCACCCGGAGCUGUACGCGGCUCUCAAGGAUUACGACCGGCAGACGUCGUUGCUGCCGUUCAACUUCACCAAGGGCAGCUUCAAGGACGCUGGCGCCGCGCUGGACACCGCUGUGACAGCCGUGACCACCGAGAUCAUGGCCCCUGUCGCUACCGCAGCCGUUCAGGAACACUGCGCUGCAACUACACCGGCGGCGCUGCAGCCUUGCCGACCGUCCUCUUCCAACACAGCUUGCACGAGGCUCCACAAGAAUCACUCGAUUCGCUCUAGCAUCGUCGUGACGGGCACGAACGUGGACUACGCCGCAUAUGGCCGCUUACCUCCCAUCUCCAAUGCUUGAGGUAUCAAAAGGAGAGUCUAGGCAGCGCACAGGAGUGCAGGAUUGUGUGUGUGUCUCUCUAGCGAUUUGGUGUGUGCGCGCGGAGUCCUUUCAUAUCUCGGGCACUUCUUUCAGACUCGUUCGUGCGUCUCUCCCCCUCUCGCUCGUCUUUAUGGCUUUGCCAGCUGGCCUCCCUGAUUUCUGACCCGCAUGCAAAGGUGUUGAUGUGGAUGUCGUUACACAUGUCUUUGCGCGCGUGGUCAUCGGUGCUGCAUGCCCUCGUCUCCCUCUUCUUUUCUUUUUUUCGUCUUUGCCCUUUGUUUUUGGUUUUGUUCUGGAAUUCUCAGGAGAUCGUUGGAUGAUGGGCGUCUCUUGUACCCCUGCUCUAUGUCUUGGACGUCUAUCUCAUCUCCCAACCAUCUCUCCCUCCUCUUCUGUUUUUGUUUCUCGGCCCCAUUUACUUGACUUAUCCGCUUCUUUCUCUACACCGCCCUUCCCUUCCCUUCCCUCGCGUUUUCGAUGUUUUUUCUCCAAGAGCGGGGUUUUCUGUACCCAACUUCUAUCUACCGCCUCCGCCCCCGGUGCCUCCCUCAUCAUCGCGCGUGACCACCCCUUCCCUUGCUCCCUCUCUGUCUCCCUCCGCGUGUGUGCGUCUCCGCCAUACUUUGCGAUGCCACCGCGCACGUGAUUAAUACCAUUGCAGAGAAGGGAAUGGGAACAAGUAACCGCGGCAGUGCGAGGCACACACACACAGAGAAUGAGAUUGCUGAUGGUAACCAGUCACGAAGCCACUUAAGAGCCAAUCAAGGAAACGAUUUUCGAGACUCGUACGCUACCCCUCUCUCUCUACUAGCUCGCGAUGCAUGCGACACGCUCUCUCGUACUCUCUGUUGUGCAGGUCCGUUCGCGUUUUUGUACACUUUCACAUGUAAAGUAAGGCGCUCCUCGUUUUCUUGUGCCGAGUCUGAACCGACUGCAGCCUCCCUUCCCACCUUCCCCCCCCCAAAAAAAAAACAAAGAGCAUCACAAGUUCCGUCUGUGCCUUGUGCAAUGUACCCAGGCACCCAAAGCCGUGCAAGAGUUUUCGAGACGUGCAUCCCUGCCUCUGUCCUGGGGAGCGGAGCGUGGAUGAGCCAGUUUUCUCUUGCGGCGUUGUACAUAGGAGCCGUCUCCGCGCAGACUCAUGCCCUGCUCUCGCAUACGUGCGUACCUUUGUUGUACGGCGCAACUGAAAACAUGAGCACACUCUUCGCUGUGAGUUCCCUCCUAUCUAACGCCACUUUCCUGAACUCUUUUUCUUUUGGGUUGGUUGGGUGGGGGGGGGUACUCGGAGCUCCCUCUCUCCCUCUAUGUGCGCGCGCGGCUCAG